GAUACUUGGUGUGAAUUGCAGAAUCCCGUGAACCAUCGAGUCUUUGAACGCAAGUUGCGCCUGAAGCCAUUAGGUUGAAGGCACGUCUGCCUGGGCGUCACGC
Molecule: ribosomal RNA, 103 nt
Filed under: Thibaudia angustifolia
Lineage: Eukaryota; Viridiplantae; Streptophyta; Magnoliopsida; Ericales; Ericaceae
Description: partial 5.8S ribosomal RNA
Rfam family: 5.8S ribosomal RNA
About the family: 5.8S ribosomal RNA (5.8S rRNA) is a component of the large subunit of the eukaryotic ribosome.
Source: RNAcentral